CGCCGCGUGAACGAUGAAGGUUUUCGGAUCGUAAAGUUCUGUUAUGAGGGAAGAACAAGUGCCGUUCGAAUAGGUCGGCACCUUGACGGUACCUCACGAGAAAGCCCCGGCUAACUACGUGCCAGCAGCCGCGGUAAUACGUAGGGGGCAAGCGUUGUCCGGAAUUAUUGGGCGUAAAGCGCGCGCAGGCGGUCUCUUAAGUCUGAUGUGAAAGCCCACGGCUCAACCGUGGAGGGUCAUUGGAAACUGGGGGACUUGAGUGUAGGAGAGGAAAGUGGAAUUCCACGUGUAGCGGUGAAAUGCGUAGAUAUGUGGAGGAACACCAGUGGCGAAGGCGACUUUCUGGCCUACAACUGACGCUGAGGCGCGAAAGCGUGGGGAGCAAACAGGAUUAGAUACCCUGGUAGUCCACGCCGUAAACAAUGAGUGCUAGGUGUUAGGGGUUUCGAUACCCUUAGUGCCGAAGUUAACACAUUAAGCACUCCGCCUGGGGAGUACGGCCGCAAGGCUGAAACUCAAAGGAAUUGACGGGGGCCCGCACAAGCAGUGGAGCAUGUGGUUUAAUUCGAAGCAACGCGAA
Molecule: ribosomal RNA, 580 nt
Filed under: Bacillus sp. LC24
Lineage: Bacteria; Bacillati; Bacillota; Bacilli; Caryophanales; Bacillaceae
Description: bacterial SSU rRNA
Rfam family: Bacterial small subunit ribosomal RNA
Source: RNAcentral